RNAcentral lists this ribosomal RNA (38 nucleotides) under uncultured Melampsora. Its description in RNAcentral is "partial 28S ribosomal RNA". Lineage: Eukaryota; Fungi; Basidiomycota; Pucciniomycetes; Pucciniales; Melampsoraceae. The record is from RNAcentral.
AUGAUUCCCUUAGUAACGGCGAGUGAACAGGGAAAAGC